This 77-nucleotide transfer RNA is filed under the name Parvularcula bermudensis HTCC2503. Its description in RNAcentral is "tRNA-Pro (CGG) (tRNA-Pro-CGG-1-1)". It matches the Rfam family "tRNA". Rfam says of the family: Transfer RNA (tRNA) molecules are approximately 80 nucleotides in length. Their secondary structure includes four short double-helical elements and three loops (D, anti-codon, and T loops). The record is from RNAcentral. RNAcentral also lists the same sequence under 7 other names. Lineage: Bacteria; Pseudomonadati; Pseudomonadota; Alphaproteobacteria; Parvularculales; Parvularculaceae.
CGGAGUGUAGCUCAGCCUGGUAGAGCACUGUCUUCGGGAGGCAGGGGCCGUGAGUUCGAAUCUCGCCACUCCGACCA